This 253-nucleotide ribosomal RNA is filed under the name uncultured bacterium. RNAcentral describes it as "partial 16S ribosomal RNA". It matches the Rfam family "Bacterial small subunit ribosomal RNA", at positions 524 to 776 of the family's 1533-position model. The record is from RNAcentral.
UACAGAGGUCUCAAGCGUUGUUCGGAUUCAUUGGGCGUAAAGGGCGCGUAGGCGGCGAGGUAAGUCGGGUGUGAAAUCUCAGAGCUCAACUCUGAAACUGCACUCGAUACUGCUUUGCUAGAGGACUGGAGAGGAGAUUGGAAUUCACGGUGUAGCAGUGAAAUGCGUAGAGAUCGUGAGGAAGACCAGUGGCGAAGGCGGAUCUCUGGACAGUUCCUGACGCUGAGGCGCGAAAGCGUGGGGAGCAAACAGG